RNAcentral lists this ribosomal RNA (500 nucleotides) under uncultured Glomeromycotina. RNAcentral describes it as "partial small subunit ribosomal RNA". It matches the Rfam family "Eukaryotic small subunit ribosomal RNA", at positions 591 to 1092 of the family's 1831-position model. The record is from RNAcentral. Lineage: Eukaryota; Fungi; Glomeromycota.
CCAAUAGCGUAUAUUAAAGUUGUUGCAGUUCAAAAGCUCGUAGUUGAAUUUCGGGAUCGACGGGUCGGUCGCGCCUCUGGUGUGUACUGGCCCUGUCGGUUUCUCCCUUCUGACGAACCACGAUGUCAUUAAUUUGGUGUCGUGGGAAAUCAGGACUGUUACUUUGAAAAAAUUAGAGUGUUUAAAGCAAGCAUUCGCUUGAAUACAUUAGCAUGGAAUAAUGAAAUAGGACGUUUGAUCUUAUUUUGUUGGUUUCUAAGAUCGACGUAAUGAUUAAUAGGGAUAGUUGGGGGCAUUAGUAUUCAAUUGUCAGAGGUGAAAUUCUUGGAUUUAUUGAAGACUAACUACUGCGAAAGCAUUUGCCAAGGAUGUUUUCAUUAAUCAAGAACGAAAGUUAGGGGAUCGAAGACGAUCAGAUACCGUCGUAGUCUUAACCAUAAACUAUGCCGACUAGGGAUCGGAUGAUGUUAAUUUUUUAAUGACUCAUUCGGCGCCUUACG